GUUGCGGCUAAUGUGGAGCAACUGCAGAAGCUUGGAGUGAAAAAGGUUCUUGUGAAGAACUUGCACCUUGUCGGCUGCACACCAUCGCAAACACGAACCAACAAUUACACGGCCUGCGAUGUCUUUGGAAAUUUUGGUGCAUCCAUCCAUAACAAUAACCUAAAACAAGUGAUGGCAGCAAAGAAAAAUGUCAACGUUGUCAACCUAUACACCACCUUCACUAAUAUUGUGGAUAAUACGCCGGGCCAAGGACAAGAGCUAUCCAAGCAAUUCAAGCGCAACUUGUCGCCGUGCUGUGAGAGUUUUGAUUCAAAGGGUUACUGCAGACAACAAAGCGAGUCAUCGGAGCUUCUUUACCGUGUUUGCGACAAGUCUAGCAAAUUUUUCUACUGGGGUGCCAUCAUAGAUUAA
Molecule: ribosomal RNA, 411 nt
Filed under: Triticum aestivum (bread wheat)
Lineage: Eukaryota; Viridiplantae; Streptophyta; Magnoliopsida; Poales; Poaceae
Description: partial small subunit ribosomal RNA
Source: RNAcentral